Non-coding RNA from Ilex paraguariensis (yerba mate), 65 nucleotides. The record is from the annotation of a GenBank genome assembly. Lineage: Eukaryota; Viridiplantae; Streptophyta; Magnoliopsida; Aquifoliales; Aquifoliaceae.
UCCGCUGUAGCACUAAUGGCAAAGAUAUCAAAAAAGUCUUCCGGGUUCGAACCCCGGCAGCGGAA